Small nuclear RNA from Amblyraja radiata (thorny skate), 160 nucleotides. RefSeq annotates it as U4 spliceosomal RNA. NCBI's taxonomy places the organism in Eukaryota, Metazoa, Chordata, Chondrichthyes, Rajiformes, Rajidae. The record is from RefSeq and is a predicted model, not a curated record. The transcript has a single exon.
AACUUUGCGCAGUGGCAGUAUCGUAGCCGAUGAGGUUUAUCCGAGGCGCGAUUAUUGCUUAUGAGAACAAUAUUCUCACAGGGCUUGACAGAGGUGUCUUUCUGUUUGGUGUCCAUUCUAGAUGGUAAUGAGAUGGAAUUUCUUCAUCUAGUUUUAGUUU